CACCCAGACUCCUACGGGAGGCAGCAGUGGGGGAUAUUGCACAAUGGGGGAAACCCUGAUGCAGCGACGCCGCGUGAGUGAAGAAGUAAUUCGUUACGUAAAGCUCUAUCAGCAGGGAAGAAAAUGACGGUACCUGACUAAGAAGCCCCGGCUAACUACGUGCCAGCAGCCGCGGUAAUACGUAGGGGGCAAGCGUUAUCCGGAUUCACUGGGUGUAAAGGGAGCGUAGACGGCGACGCAAGUCUGGAGUGAAAGCCCGGGGCCCAACCCCGGGACUGCUCUGGAAACUGCGGCGCUGGAGUGCAGGAGGGGCAGGCGGAAUUCCUGGUGUAGCGGUGAAAUGCGUAGAUAUCAGGAGGAACACCGGUGGCGAAGGCGGCCUGCUGGACUGCGACUGACGUUGAGGCCCGAAAGCGUGGGGAGCAAACAGGAUUAGAUACCCGGGUA
Molecule: ribosomal RNA, 447 nt
Filed under: uncultured bacterium
Lineage: Bacteria
Description: partial 16S ribosomal RNA
Rfam family: Bacterial small subunit ribosomal RNA
Source: RNAcentral